UGGGGAAUAUUGCACAAUGGGGGAAACCCUGAUGCAGCGACGCCGCGUGAGCGAAGAAGGCUUUCGAGUCGUAAAGCUCUGUCCUAUGAGAAGAUAAUGACGGUAUCAUAGGAGGAAGCCCUGGCUAAAUACGUGCCAGCAGCCGCGGUAAUACGUAUGUUGCGAGCGUUAUCCGGAAUUAUUGGGCUUAAAGGGCAUCUAGGCGGUAAGACAAGUUGAAGGUGAAAACCUGUGGCUCAACCAUAGGCUUGCCUACAAAACUGUUGAACUAGAGUACUGGAAAGGUGGGUGGAACUACACGAGUAGAGGUGAAAUUCGUAGAUAUGUGUAGGAAUGCCGCUGAUGAAGAUAACUCACUGGACAGAAACUGACGCUGAAGUGCGAAAGCUAGGGGAGCAAACAGG
RNAcentral lists this ribosomal RNA (404 nucleotides) under Verrucomicrobiota bacterium. Its description in RNAcentral is "Verrucomicrobia bacterium partial 16S ribosomal RNA". It matches the Rfam family "Bacterial small subunit ribosomal RNA", at positions 355 to 776 of the family's 1533-position model. The record is from RNAcentral. Lineage: Bacteria; Pseudomonadati; Verrucomicrobiota.